RNAcentral lists this ribosomal RNA (549 nucleotides) under Bifidobacterium animalis subsp. lactis. RNAcentral describes it as "bacterial SSU rRNA". It matches the Rfam family "Bacterial small subunit ribosomal RNA", at positions 161 to 711 of the family's 1533-position model. The record is from RNAcentral. Lineage: Bacteria; Bacillati; Actinomycetota; Actinomycetes; Bifidobacteriales; Bifidobacteriaceae.
UGGUAAUACCGGAUGCUCCGCUCCAUCGCAUGGUGGGGUGGGAAAUGCUUUUGCGGCAUGGGAUGGGGUCGCGUCCUAUCAGCUUGUUGGCGGGGUGAUGGCCCACCAAGGCGUUGACGGGUAGCCGGCCUGAGAGGGUGACCGGCCACAUUGGGACUGAGAUACGGCCCAGACUCCUACGGGAGGCAGCAGUGGGGAAUAUUGCACAAUGGGCGCAAGCCUGAUGCAGCGACGCCGCGUGCGGGAUGGAGGCCUUCGGGUUGUAAACCGCUUUUGUUCAAGGGCAAGGCACGGUUUCGGCCGUGUUGAGUGGAUUGUUCGAAUAAGCACCGGCUAACUACGUGCCAGCAGCCGCGGUAAUACGUAGGGUGCGAGCGUUAUCCGGAUUUAUUGGGCGUAAAGGGCUCGUAGGCGGUUCGUCGCGUCCGGUGUGAAAGUCCAUCGCCUAACGGUGGAUCUGCGCCGGGUACGGGCGGGCUGGAGUGCGGUAGGGGAGACUGGAAUUCCCGGUGUAACGGUGGAAUGUGUAGAUAUCGAAAAAAAACACCA